Molecule: long non-coding RNA, 1453 nt
Filed under: Homo sapiens (human)
Lineage: Eukaryota; Metazoa; Chordata; Mammalia; Primates; Hominidae
Description: HSALNT0332558
Source: RNAcentral
UCAUCAUUUCCUAUCUUUACUCUUCCUUUCUUGUUUUCCGUCAGAACCUAUACCAUGAAUUGUCAGGUCAUUUACUUUAACAAAUGUUUAUAUAUUUACCUUUGAAAAGAGCACUGUCAAAAAUCUUAAUUUCAAGUUCCCACUCAGUUACUUAACUGUAUGGCUACAACCAAAUCACCCAACUUCUCAGAGGCUUAUUUUUUCCUCUGUAAAACUGGAAAAUUUAUACUGGAUCUGCUACUCUGAUGAGAUAAAGUGGGAGGUGCUUGUUAUUUUUUGGGUGAGGAGAAAAGAUGAAGAACAGUGGAGAAAAGUGGAGAAAAGAUGAAGUUUAUGCAGCAAAUUGCUAACUGGAACAAGGUUCCAUACAGAUAGCCAGCCAUGGGAGUCAGAAUUUGAACUCAGAUCUGGUCUGGUUCUGAAGCCUCUCUUCUUUCCAGCUGUGAGACAAAGGAGCAAAUAUGAGAAGCACCUUUUGCUCACUUCUGCUUGCCAGCAGAAUUUCACAAAAGCCCUGGACUGUGAAGAUGUUUGGAAAGAUGCUUUGAAGACAAAACCUUUAACAGGGUUAGUGUUUAUGCCUCUGUAAUCUACAACCGGAUGCGCUCUUACACCCAAGCCUUGAUGGGAUUCUGCUGCGACGGAAAUUCUGAGCAAAUUUGAUGUGAUUGUGCAGGAAGAAGCAACAGGAUUGUACCCACCUAUAACGAGAAAGCUUAACUUACUGACAUAUUCUCAUUGCUGAAGACUCUGUCUGAAUGAGGAUUUCAAUCUCAAGUCUAGGAUGUGAUUUCAUCUGGUAAAUGUCUUAUGGAAGGCUGAGGAGCAGCCUAAUGAGGUACUGCUGAGUUGGGAGGAGGUGGGAGGAGCUGAGAGGGCUAUCUGGACUCACUUCCCUCAAAAUGAAACCUUGAUAUUUUCAAAGCUUGUGUCCCUGGAGCCCUCACUUGGGUUAGGGGGAGACCCCUGAUUUUAUUUAUUCAUGCUAGGGAUGGUAAUACCUUGUUCUCUAGGUCCUGGGCUUUCUAAAGAAGAUUAUUUUUAGCUCUAAAGUUAAAUGACACAUUGUUUGGGGGAGGAGGGGAGAUCCUUUGAUGGGGUCCUUUAAAAGAGUGCCCCACCCCCAACGCUGUCCUCUUGCCUUGGCAGGACCUCUUGGCAGGACCUGUCUGAGUACUUUGGACAAAGACAGUAAGCAUCAUUGCUUCUGUUUGCGGCUAGUUUUUCUUUCUGUUUCCAGGUGAAGGGGAGAGGCAGACACGGAAGAAGCGCAUCUGUAGCUAAGAAAGAAAUACACUGACCCCAUUUCCAGUGGUUGAGCUUCUCUCCAAGUAGGUAGAUGCUGGCGAUGAAGACGUAGCUGAGAGAGAAGAAAGCUGCUAGACCCAAGAGGCUGAGUUUGGCAAACACAGGAUACACCCAGGUACCCGUCUCAAAGUAGAGCCAUAGGAUG